UACGUAGGGGGCAAGCGUUGUCCGGAAUUAUUGGGCGUAAAGAGCGCGUAGGCGGUCCGAUAAGUCGGCUGUGAAAGUCAAGGGCUCAACCCUUGAAAGCCGGCCGAUACUGUCGGACUAGAGUCCGGAAGAGGCGAGUGGAAUUCCCGGUGUAGCGGUGAAAUGUGUAGAGAUCGGGAGGAACACCGGUGGCGAAGGCGGGUCUCUGGGCAUCUCCUGACGCUGAGGCGCGAAAGCGUGGGGAGCAAACGGG
This 253-nucleotide ribosomal RNA is filed under the name uncultured bacterium. RNAcentral's name for it is "partial 16S ribosomal RNA". It matches the Rfam family "Bacterial small subunit ribosomal RNA", at positions 524 to 776 of the family's 1533-position model. The record is from RNAcentral.